RNAcentral lists this transfer RNA (84 nucleotides) under Clostridiales bacterium CHKCI006. RNAcentral's name for it is "tRNA-Tyr". It matches the Rfam family "tRNA". From Rfam's summary of the family: Transfer RNA (tRNA) molecules are approximately 80 nucleotides in length. Their secondary structure includes four short double-helical elements and three loops (D, anti-codon, and T loops). Lineage: Bacteria; Bacillati; Bacillota; Clostridia; Eubacteriales. The record is from RNAcentral.
GGAGGAGUAGCGAAGUGGCCAAACGCGGCUGACUGUAAAUCAGUUCCUGAGGGUUCGGUGGUUCGAAUCCGCCCUCCUCCACCA